AGAAGUUACAGUUUUGAAAUACCGUGUUUAAGAAAAAGAUUGAUAGAAGUGUAAUUUUUAAUCAUAUUUAUGUGACUGGAGUUAAUGAUAAAAGUCAACUAUUGGACGGUAGUGUUGAUAAUUACAAAGAAAACUAUUCGUGAAAAUACUGUCGCGGUCGCCAGAUUGUCGAAUUCCGGACGCUGAUUGACAAUUCAAAUGGAAAUGAAAAAGGCAAGGGGAGGAGAGAAUUAUGGGGGCAGUAACUGUGUAAAACCGUCAAAAAGGCAUGUUAGUGGGUCAGGAUACUGCAUGGCAUAAACGGGGCUUUGACAGAAUAAAAUCACACACAUUCUUGUUGUCCAACCAAAAGUAUGGAGGGAAGAUAGUGAAGUAGGUCAUGUCUUAGCGUAUCUGUGAAACGUGCCAGUGGUGGCGAAGAAACCGGACAUGCACAUGGCUGUGUCAACAAGAUUACUGGAGUGUCAGUGGUGAGAAGGGACUCAAGGAGCUUAUUGAAGAGGGCACGCCUGUUGAGAUUUUAGAGGGUGAUGGAGAUAAUAAUUUAGUUUAAUGCGUGAAAAGGAACUUAAACCUUACACUACAGAAACAUUUUGAUAAAAUCAUGUCAAGAACAUUUUCAUAAUGAAGAACUCAGACUGUCAGCCCAGGGUCACAAAUACCAUGCGGGUAUUUUUUAUUCCAAACCUGGCGGAGUUAUGCAAAAAUCGACCAUCAAAAUCAUGUUUAUAUUUUGUAUAUACACUGUACUAACAAGUUUUAUGUUAUUAAUCACUAUUCAUUGAUGAAGCUAUUUUCCUUUUAACUGGUAUGAUUGAAUGAUUUAAUAUGCCAUAUUUUUUUAUUUUGAAUUGUUUUAUUUCCCCUGUCAUAUGUUCAAGUCUUUUACUCAUUUUUAUCUAUUUUUGAACAUUUGAACUCCUCGAUAUGCUCACAUGUAAAAAGUCGCAAAUUUAGUAUGGUGUUUCUGGCAAAUGGGGGUACCCUUAAUUGUGAUGCAGGAACUUUUUAUUUUACUGGUGACCCUUUUGAAUAGUUCAGGCUAAUGUAUAGUUUUAAUCAUUUUUUUGAUAAACCAAGUCAAGAAUAUUUCAUGAACCAUUUUUGAAUUCUUUGGAUUCAUGAAAAGUUCUUCAUUAGUUCUUAAAAAAGGCAAAAAUAUUCAAAUUAAAGUAAUUAAAGAACUGGUACGUUUUGUAUCUUGUUGGUUGAUUAAUUAAAAUAGAUAAUUUUUAGCAAGAAUGAUGUCUGGCUGAACUUGUGCAAAUAUGGUUGGUUGCCUGAAGUAAAAAAAAAGAAGCUUACAAGUAGAUGAAAUUUACACGGUUAUCAUGUAUAAAGUAUGCAAAGAUCAAGUAUUUUAAGUAUAAUAAUAAUAAUCUUAAAUGUUACUAACAUUAAUCAGUAUGAAAAUAAAGAACUUACAAAAUUAGUAUGCUAGACAUUUCAAUAUUACUUUCGAAAAUAUGUAUGAAACAUCUAGCACAAAGGAAUUCAUGAAUUAUUCAUGAUGGAUCCUCAAAGUCUGUCUCAGAAAAGUCAUUAGAAAUAAUUGUUCAUGAAAUGUUCAUCACUAAGUAUUUAUGGUUAGAUGAAGAACUGUUCAUGAACUUCGAAGUGUUCAUCAAUAAUUCAUAAACUGUUCAUGAACUUCUUCUAAGAACAGUUCAUGUCCAAAAGUUUGUGAACCAAGCUCAGGAACUUUUCAAGAACCGUUCAUGAACAGUUCAUGAUUGGCUUGAAGUGUUCAUGAAGUCAUGAACAACAUUUCGCAGAGGAUGUUUCUAAAAUGUUGCACAUUAAUAAAUAAAGGGCAAUAUGAAGUUUAUGCAUAAACUAUAUACUUUUGGGUAGGGGUUUUCACUGUUUGGAGACUGCUGUACGUAUUGCGGCAUAAGUGUUAAAGGUUUGUUUUAGAAAGCAACAACACAAAAGUUCUGAAAAGUAAUGCUCAAACUUAAUCCCCAUCCCUUGAAAUUCUGUCAAAGCUUUGUUUUGAAAAGCACAACACAAAAAUGCUCUAAAUAUGACAUUGUUUGUUAAAACUAAGUCAUCCAAAUAGAAAGUUUUUACAUGUGGCAAUCGCUUUCUUGGUAUGGCUUCUAAAUUGCUAACAUGCAGAUAGUUUCUGCACAUGCCUAGAUUAAAAUGUAACCACAGCAGUAAGAAACAUGCCUAGUAUUCAGUGUAUGGCUUCCUGUUGAAUGUCUUUGACCUGUAUUUUUGUUGUGUUUUUGUUUUCUUGUUAUUAUUUUUGUGA
This is a long non-coding RNA of Dreissena polymorpha, 2260 nucleotides long. RefSeq lists it as uncharacterized. The record is from RefSeq and is a predicted model, not a curated record. The transcript is spliced from 3 exons. Lineage: Eukaryota; Metazoa; Mollusca; Bivalvia; Myida; Dreissenidae.